RNAcentral lists this ribosomal RNA (238 nucleotides) under uncultured bacterium. Its description in RNAcentral is "partial 16S ribosomal RNA". It matches the Rfam family "Bacterial small subunit ribosomal RNA", at positions 122 to 354 of the family's 1533-position model. The record is from RNAcentral.
UAACCUGCCCAAGAGACUGGGAUAACACCUGGAAACAGAUGCUAAUACCGGAUAACAACACUAGACGCAUGUCUAGAGUUUAAAAGAUGGUUCUGCUAUCACUCUUGGAUGGACCUGCGGUGCAUUAGCUAGUUGGUAUGGUAACGGCUUACCAAGGCAAUGAUGCAUAGCCGAGUUGAGAGACUGAUCGGCCACAUUGGGACUGAGACACGGCCCAAACUCCUACGGGAGGCAGCAG